UACGGAGGGUGCAAGCGUUAUCCGGAUUCACUGGGUUUAAAGGGAGCGCAGGCGGAUUUGUAAGUCAGUGGUGAAAGGCUUAAGCUUAACUUGGGAACUGCCAUUGAUACUAUAAGUCUUGAAUGUUGUUGAGGUUUGCGGAAUGGGUCAUGUAGCGGUGAAAUGCAUAGAUAUGACCCGGAACACCUAUUGCGAAGGCAGCAGGCUAAACAAAUAUUGACGCUGAGGAGCGAAAGCGUGGGGAGCGAACAGG
Molecule: ribosomal RNA, 253 nt
Filed under: uncultured bacterium
Lineage: Bacteria
Description: partial 16S ribosomal RNA
Rfam family: Bacterial small subunit ribosomal RNA
Source: RNAcentral